GGACGAACGCUGGCGGCGUGCUUAACACAUGCAAGUCGAGCGGUAAGGCCCUUUCGGGGGUACACGAGCGGCGAACGGGUGAGUAACACGUGGGUGACCUGCCCUCAGCUCUGGGAUAAGCCUGGGAAACCGGGUCUAAUACUGGAUAUGACUCCAUGACGCAUGUUGUGGGGUGGAAAGCCUUGUGCGGCUGAGGAUGGGCCCGCGGCCUAUCAGCUUGUUGGUGGGGUGAUGGCCUACCAAGGCGACGACGGGUAGCCGGCCUGAGAGGGCGACCGGCCACACUGGGACUGAGACACGGCCCAGACUCCUACGGGAGGCAGCAGUGGGAAUCUUGCGCAAUGGGCGAAAGCCUGACGCAGCGACGCCGCGUGAGGGAUGACGG
RNAcentral lists this ribosomal RNA (385 nucleotides) under uncultured bacterium. RNAcentral's name for it is "bacterial SSU rRNA". It matches the Rfam family "Bacterial small subunit ribosomal RNA", at positions 27 to 414 of the family's 1533-position model. The record is from RNAcentral.